CGGACGGGUGAGUAAUGUAUGGGGAUCUGCCUGAUGGCGGGGGAUAACUACUGGAAACGGUAGCUAAUACCGCAUAAUGUCUACGGACCAAAGCGGGGGACCUCCGGGCCUCGCGCCAUCAGAUGAACCCAUAUGGGAUUAGCUAGUAGGUGAGGUAACGGCUUACCUAGGCGACGAUCCCUAGCUGGUCUGAGGGGAUGAUCAGCCACACUGGGACUGAGACACGGCCCAG
This 232-nucleotide ribosomal RNA is filed under the name uncultured bacterium. Its description in RNAcentral is "partial 16S ribosomal RNA". It matches the Rfam family "Bacterial small subunit ribosomal RNA", at positions 99 to 334 of the family's 1533-position model. The record is from RNAcentral.